UAGGGAAUCUUCCGCAAUGGGCGAAAGCCUGACGGAGCAACGCCGCGUGAGUGAUGAAGGUCUUCGGAUCGUAAAACUCUGUUAUUAGGGAAGAACAAAUGUGUAAGUAACUAUGCACGUCUUGACGGUACCUAAUCAGAAAGCCACGGCUAACUACGUGCCAGCAGCCGCGGUAAUACGUAGGUGGCAAGCGUUAUCCGGAAUUAUUGGGCGUAAAGCGCGCGUAGGCGGUUUUUUAAGUCUGAUGUGAAAGCCCACGGCUCAACCGUGGAGGGCCAUUGGAAACUGGAAAACUUGAGUGCAGAAGAGGAAAGUGGAAUUCCAUGUGUAGCGGUGAAAUGCGCAGAGAUAUGGAGGAACACCAGUGGCGAAGGCGACUUUCUGGUCUGUAACUGACGCUGAUGUGCGAAAGCGUGGGGAUCAAACAGG
RNAcentral lists this ribosomal RNA (429 nucleotides) under Actinomycetes bacterium. RNAcentral's name for it is "Actinobacteria bacterium partial 16S ribosomal RNA". It matches the Rfam family "Bacterial small subunit ribosomal RNA", at positions 355 to 776 of the family's 1533-position model. The record is from RNAcentral. Lineage: Bacteria; Bacillati; Actinomycetota; Actinomycetes.